GCACCGCCGAGGCUCGGGGGCUUGGCCCGGCCGCCCGCAGACCUGGGCCUCGCACCUCGCGCCCGGAUGCCGCUCUCUCCCCGCGCGGUCACCCGUUCCCUGGGAAGCAGAGUGGGCAGCUGUGGCAGAUGGGACUGAUGGGACGAGGACGACGCGUGGAAAUGACUGUGAGGGUGGACAGAGGCCUGGGGGUCUGGAUCUGUCACCAAGGCUGGAGUGCCAGGGCACCACCAUAGCUCACUGCAGCCUCGCUCUCCCAGGCUUAAGUGAUCCUCCUGCUUCAGCUCCUGGAGUAGCUGGGAUUACAGAACUCUGAACGGAGAAGGUGGAAAGGGCCUUCAGCGGAAGUCCAGGUUACUUACUAAAGCGGAAUGGAAGCCAACAGAUACCAGCG
RNAcentral lists this long non-coding RNA (394 nucleotides) under Homo sapiens (human). Its description in RNAcentral is "HSALNT0314499". Lineage: Eukaryota; Metazoa; Chordata; Mammalia; Primates; Hominidae. The record is from RNAcentral.